CAGCACCUCAAGUGGUCAGGAUGAUUAUUGGGCCUAAAGCAUCCGUAGCCGGCGCUGUAAGUUUUCGGUUAAAUCUGUACGCUCAACGUACAGGCUGCCGGGAAUACUGCAGCGCUAGGGAGUGGGAGAGGUAGACGGUACUCGGUAGGAAGGGGUAAAAUCCUUUGAUCUAUUGAUGACCACCUGUGGCGAAGGCGGUCUACCAGAACACGUCCGACGGUGAGGGAUGAAAGCUGGGGAGCAAAACGGAUUAGAUACCCGAGUAGUCC
This 269-nucleotide ribosomal RNA is filed under the name uncultured archaeon. Its description in RNAcentral is "partial 16S ribosomal RNA". It matches the Rfam family "Archaeal small subunit ribosomal RNA", at positions 477 to 747 of the family's 1478-position model. The record is from RNAcentral.